GGAAUUGCUAGUAAUCACAGGUCAGCAUACUGUGGUGAAUACGUUCCCGGGCCUUGUACACACCGCCCGUCACACCAUGAGAGUUGAGAAUACCCGAAGCCCAUGUCAAAGUGGUCGAAGGUAGGCUUGAUGAUUGGGGUGAAGUCGUAACAAGGUAAC
RNAcentral lists this ribosomal RNA (159 nucleotides) under uncultured bacterium. RNAcentral's name for it is "partial 16S ribosomal RNA". It matches the Rfam family "Bacterial small subunit ribosomal RNA", at positions 1328 to 1500 of the family's 1533-position model. The record is from RNAcentral.